Molecule: transfer RNA, 74 nt
Filed under: Pediococcus claussenii
Lineage: Bacteria; Bacillati; Bacillota; Bacilli; Lactobacillales; Lactobacillaceae
Also listed under: 3 other names
Description: tRNA-Arg
Rfam family: tRNA
About the family: Transfer RNA (tRNA) molecules are approximately 80 nucleotides in length. Their secondary structure includes four short double-helical elements and three loops (D, anti-codon, and T loops).
Source: RNAcentral
GGACCGGUAGCUCAGCUGGAUAGAGCAUCCGCCUUCUAAGCGGACGGUCGUGAGUUCGAAUCUCACCCGGUUCA